RNAcentral lists this non-coding RNA (157 nucleotides) under Desulfovibrio sp. Its description in RNAcentral is "FMN sequence". It matches the Rfam family "FMN riboswitch aptamer (RFN element)". Rfam says of the family: The RFN element is a highly conserved domain that is found frequently in the 5'-untranslated regions of prokaryotic mRNAs that encode for flavin mononucleotide (FMN) biosynthesis and transport proteins. This element is a metabolite-dependent riboswitch that directly binds FMN in the absence of proteins. In Bacillus subtilis, the riboswitch most likely controls gene expression by causing premature transcription termination within the 5' untranslated region of the ribDEAHT operon and precluding access to the ribosome-binding site of ypaA mRNA. Lineage: Bacteria; Pseudomonadati; Thermodesulfobacteriota; Desulfovibrionia; Desulfovibrionales; Desulfovibrionaceae. The record is from RNAcentral.
GUUAAUUCUCAGGGCGGGGUGCAAUUCCCCACCGGCGGUGAUUCUUUAAUCAUAUUUAAAGAAAGCCCGCGAGCGCUUUUCUCGUUGUGAGAAAGGGUCAGCAGAUCUGGUGUGAUUCCAGGGCCGACGGUUACAGUCCGGAUGGAAGAGGAUGCGA